UAUUGGGCGUAAGCGAGCGCAGGCGGUUUUUUAAGUCUGAUGUGAAAGCCUUCGGCUCAMCCGAAGAAGUGCAUCGGAAACUGGGAAACUUGAGUGCAGAAGAGGACAGUGGAACUCCAUGUGUAGCGGUGAAAUGCGUAGAUAUAUGGAAGAACACCAGUGGCGAAGGCGGCUGUCUGGUCUGYAACUGACGCUGAGGCUCGAAAGUAUGGGUAGCAAACAGGAUUAGAUACCCUGGUAGUCCAUACCGUAAACGAUGAAUGCUAAGUGUUGGAGGGUUUCCGCCCUUCAGUGCUGCAGCUAACGCAUUAAGCAUUCCGCCUGGGGAGUACGGCCGCAAGGCUGAAACUCAAAGGAAUUGACGGGGGCCCGCACAAGCGGUGGAGCAUGUGGUUUAAUUCGAAGCUACGCGAAGAACCUUACCAGGUCUUGACAUACUAUGCAAAUCUAAGAGAUUAGACGUUCCCUUCGGGGACAUGGAUACAGGUGGUGCAUGGUUGUCGUCAGCUCGUGUCGUGAGAUGUUGGGUUAAGUCCCGCAACGAGCGCAACCCUUAUUAUCAGUUGCCAGCAUUAAGUUGGGCACUCUGGUGAGACUGCCGGUGACAAACCGGAGGAAGGUGGGGAUGACGUCAAAUCAUCAUGCCCCUUAUGACCUGGGCUACACACGUGCUACAAUGGAUGGUACAACGAGUUGCGAACUCGCGAGAGUAAGCUAAUCUCUUAAAGCCAUUCUCAGUUCGGAUUGUAGGCUGCAACUCGCCUACAUGAAGUCGGAAUCGCUAGUAAUCGCGGAUCAGCAUGCCGCGGUGAAUACGUUCCCGGGCCUUGUACACACCGCCCGUCACACCAUGAGAGUUUGUAACACCCAAAGUCGGUGG
RNAcentral lists this ribosomal RNA (880 nucleotides) under Lactiplantibacillus plantarum. Its description in RNAcentral is "bacterial SSU rRNA". It matches the Rfam family "Bacterial small subunit ribosomal RNA", at positions 552 to 1433 of the family's 1533-position model. Lineage: Bacteria; Bacillati; Bacillota; Bacilli; Lactobacillales; Lactobacillaceae. The record is from RNAcentral.